AGCGAACGCUGGCGGCGUGCCUAACACAUGCAAGUCGAACGUGAAAAGGGAAACCUGAGUAAAGUGGCGUACGGGUGAGUAACGCGUAGGUAAUCUACCCCAGAAUCUGGAAUAACCUGCCGAAAGGCGGGCUAAUACUGGAUAGAGCGAGGGAACUCGUAAGAGAGUUUUUCGGGAAAGGGAGCCCGCAAGGGCCUUCGUUCUGGGAUGAGCCUGCGUCUCAUUAGCUAGUUGGUAAGGUAACGGCUUACCAAGGCGAUGAUGAGUAGCUGGUCUGAGAGGAUGAUCAGCCACACUGGAACUGAAACACGGUCCAGACUCCUACGGGAGGCAGCAGUGGGGAAUCUUGCGCAAUGGACGAAAGUCUGACGCAGCCACGCCGCGUGAGUGAAGAAGACCUUCGGGUUGUAAAGCUCUGUCGGAUGGGACGAACAUCUUCAUAGUGAAUAGCUAUGAGGACUGACGGUACCAUCAAAGGAAGCACCGGCUAACUCCGUG
This 498-nucleotide ribosomal RNA is filed under the name uncultured bacterium. RNAcentral describes it as "partial 16S ribosomal RNA". It matches the Rfam family "Bacterial small subunit ribosomal RNA", at positions 29 to 507 of the family's 1533-position model. The record is from RNAcentral.